CCUCCUUUCUUCCUCCUUUUUGCCUCUUGCGCCAUGGGCGCACGCCUGCCGCAGCGACGCCGCGUGAGGGAUGAAGGUCUUCGGAUCGUAAACCUCUGUCAGCAGGGAAGAACGGUCACUGUGCUAAUCAGCAGUGAAUUGACGGUACCUGCAAAGGAAGCACCGGCUAACUCCGUGCCAGCAGCCGCGGUAAUACGGAGGGUGCGAGCGUUAAUCGGAAUUACUGGGCGUAAAGCGCUCGUAGGCGGUAUGUCAAGUCAAGGGUGAAAUCCCCGCGCUCAACGUGGGAACUGCCUUUGAAACUGGCAAACUGGAGUGUGUGAGAGGAUAGUGGAAUUCCAGGUGUAGGAGUGAAAUCCGUAGAUAUCUGGAGGAACAUCAGUGGCGAAGGCGACUAUCUGGCACAUAACUGACGCUGAGGAGCGAAAGCGUGGGUAGCAAACAGGAUUAGAUACCCCUGUAGUC
RNAcentral lists this ribosomal RNA (465 nucleotides) under uncultured bacterium. Its description in RNAcentral is "partial 16S ribosomal RNA". It matches the Rfam family "Bacterial small subunit ribosomal RNA", at positions 61 to 795 of the family's 1533-position model. The record is from RNAcentral.